This 1769-nucleotide ribosomal RNA is filed under the name uncultured ciliate. RNAcentral describes it as "SSU rRNA". It matches the Rfam family "Eukaryotic small subunit ribosomal RNA". The record is from RNAcentral. Lineage: Eukaryota; Ciliophora.
ACCUGGUUGAUCCUGCCAGUAGCAUAUGCUUGUCUCAAAGAUUAAGCCAUGCAUGUCUAAGUAUAAAUAGUAUACAGUGAAACUGCGAAUGGCUCAUUAAAACAGUUAUAGUUUAUUUGAUAAUGGAAGCCUACAUGGAUAACCGUAGUAAUUCUAGAGCUAAUACAUGCGUCCAAACCUGACUGAAUUGAAAGGUUGUAUUUAUUAGAUACGAAGCCAAUAUUCCUUCGGGAUUAUUGUGGUGAGUCAUAGUAACUGAUCGAAUCUCCCAAUGGAGAUAAAUCAUUCAAGUUUCUGCUCUAUCAGCUUUCGAUGGUAGUGUAUUGGACUACCAUGGCAGUCACGGGUAACGGAGAAUUAGGGUUCGAUUCCGGAGAGGGAGCCUGAGAAACGGCUACCACAUCUAAGGAAGGCAGCAGGCGCGUAAAUUACCCAAUCCUGACUCAGGGAGGUAGUGACAAGAAAUAACAACCCGGGGAAUUCACAUUCUUACGGGAUUGCAAUGAGAACAAUUUAAAUCACUUAACGAGGAUCAAUUGGAGGGCAAGUCUGGUGCCAGCAGCCGCGGUAAUUCCAGCUCCAAUAGUGUAUAUUAAAGUUGUUGCAGUUAAAAAGCUCGUAGUUGAACUUCUGGCGGCGCGCAGUUUUGGAUUUAUUCAGGCUGCGUUGGCGUCAUCCGUCUGCAAACUCCGUACAACCUUUAGUGGCUUGGCGGGGGGAGUAGACAUUUUACUUUGAAAAAAUUAGAGUGUUUCAAGCAGGUUAUUGCCAGAAUACUUUAGCAUGGAAUAAUGGAAUAGGACUCUUGUCCAUUUGGUUGGUUAUUGGACCAGAGUAAUGAUUAACAGGGACAGUUGGGGGCAUUAGUAUUUAAUUGUCAGAGGUGAAAUUCAUGGAUUUAUUAAAGACUAACUUAUGCGAAAGCAUUUGCCAAGGAUGUUUUCAUUAAUCAAGAACGAAAGUUAGGGGAUCAAAGACGAUCAGAUACCGUCCUAGUCUUAACUAUAAACGAUGUCGACUCGGGAUUGGAAAGGUAUUUGUAUCCUUUCCAGCACCGUAUGAGAAAUCAUUAAGUCUUUGGAUUCUGGGGGGAGUAUGGUCGCAAGGCUGAAACUUAAAGGAAUUGACGGAAGAGCACCACCAGGCGUGGGACCUGCGGCUUAAUUUGACUCAACACGGGAAAACUUAUUUCAGCAAAACAUGAGUGGGAUUGACAGAUUGAGAGCUCUUUCUUGAUUUUAUGGGGUGUGGUGCAUGGCCGUUCUUAGUUGGUGGAGUGAUUUGUCUGGUUAAUUCCGUUAACGAACGAGACCUUAACCUGCUAACUAGUCAGCGCGUUAAACUACGCGUUGUACUUCUUAGAGGGACUAUGGGUAAUAGGCCCAUGGAAGUUUGAGGCAAUAACAGGUCUGUGAUGCCCAUAGAUGUUGAAAGCGGCACGCGCGUCAUACUGUCCAGUAACAGCAAGUUUAUUCCUCUACCGGCAGGUUAGGGGUAAUCUAUAAAACUGGACGAGGUAGGGAUAGAUCUUUGGAAUUAUAGAUCUUGAACGAAGAAUGCCUAGUAAGUACAAGUCAUCAACUUGUGCUGAUUACGUCCCUGUCCUUUGUACACACCGCCCGUCGCUCCUACCGAUUUCGAGCGAUAUGGUGAAUCUCCUGGACCGUGGAGCUCCUCCGUGGGCUUCGUGGAAAGUUUAGUAAACCUUAUCGCUUAGAGGAAGGAAAAGUCGUAACAAGGUAUUCGUAGGUGAACCUGCAGAAGGAUCA